GACGAACGCUGGCGGCGUGCUUAACACAUGCAAGUCGAACGGAAAGGCCCUGCUUUGGUGGGGUGCUCGAGUGGCGAACGGGUGAGUAACACGUGAGUAACCUGCCCUGGACUUUGGGAUAACUUCAGGAAACUGGGGCUAAUACCGGAUAGGAGCGCAUGGUGCAGGGGGGGGGGAGGAAAGUUUCGGCGGGUGGGGAUGGACUCGCGGCUUAUCAGCUUGUUGGUGGGGUAGUGGCUUACCAAGGCGUUGACGGGUAGCCGGCCUGAGAGGGUGACCGGCCACAUUGGGACUGAGAUACGGCCCAGACUCCUACGGGAGGCAGCAGUGGGGAAUAUUGCACAAUGGGCGGAAGCCUGAUGCAGCAACGCCGCGUGCGGGAUGACGGCCUUCGGGUUGUAAACCGCUUUCGCCUGUGACGAAGCGUGACUGACGGUAAUGGGUAAAGAAGCACCGGCUAACUACGUG
Molecule: ribosomal RNA, 468 nt
Filed under: uncultured bacterium
Lineage: Bacteria
Description: partial 16S ribosomal RNA
Rfam family: Bacterial small subunit ribosomal RNA
Source: RNAcentral